Molecule: non-coding RNA, 98 nt
Filed under: Clostridium sp.
Lineage: Bacteria; Bacillati; Bacillota; Clostridia; Eubacteriales; Clostridiaceae
Also listed under: 1 other name
Description: Guanine sequence
Rfam family: Purine riboswitch aptamer
About the family: Riboswitches are metabolite binding domains within certain messenger RNAs that serve as precision sensors for their corresponding targets.
Source: RNAcentral
AAUUACGGAUCAAAGACAGCUCAUAUAAUUUCGUUGCAUGGAACGAAAGUUUCUACUGAGCCGCCAGCGGCUCUGCUAUGAGUGUCCGGCAAAAAUAC